GGGCUUGACAUCCCACGAACUCUUCCGAAAGGAAGAGGUGCCCGCAAGGGAGCGCGGAGACAGGUGGUGCAUGGCUGUCGUCAGCUCGUGUCGUGAGAUGUUGGGUUAAGUCCCGCAACGAGCGCAACCCUCACCCCUUGUUGCCACCAGGUCAUGCUGGGCACUCUAGGGGAACUGCCCCGGUCAACGGGGAGGAAGGCGGGGACGACGUCAAGUCAUCAUGCCCCUUACGUCCUGGGCUACACACGUGCUACAAUGGCCGGUACAGAGGGAUGCAAGACCGCGAGGUGGAGCUAAACCCAAAAAGCCGGUCUAAGUUCAGAUUGGAGUCUGCAACUCGACUCCAUGAAGGAGGAAUCGCUAGUAAUCGCGUAUCAGCACGACGCGGUGAAUACGUUCCCGGGCCUUGUACACACCGCCCGUCACACCACGAAAGCCUGUUGUACUCGAAGUCGCUGAG
Molecule: ribosomal RNA, 460 nt
Filed under: uncultured Methylomirabilota bacterium
Lineage: Bacteria; Methylomirabilota (SeqCode)
Description: bacterial SSU rRNA
Rfam family: Bacterial small subunit ribosomal RNA
Source: RNAcentral